RNAcentral lists this long non-coding RNA (7866 nucleotides) under Gallus gallus (chicken). Lineage: Eukaryota; Metazoa; Chordata; Aves; Galliformes; Phasianidae. The record is from RNAcentral.
UAAGAACACAGUGUAAGUAACUCUUUGAGAUUUGUGGAUGAGCAGGUGUGGUUUAAGGCUUGAAUUGUACCUCAGCUUUGUAUGCUUUGUGUACAUGACUGAGUUUGAGCCUUGUCUGAGGAAGCUAAGGAGCUCAUUUCACAUCAGUCUUGAAGCAAAGGGAUUCUCAGAACACGCAGAGCUAAUCACAGCAGGGUCAUAGGAGGCAGAUACGUUUGCAGGACUGAUGCAGAGCUCCAUUGCUCGAGGUGGAUCCUGAGGAAUAGUUGCUAUUUAUUGCAGCCCAAUGUAUUGGAAUUCAAAACCAAGGAGAUCGAUCAUCCUCGCAUCAGAUCUGAGGUUUGGUACAUAGUAUGCAUUUUUUGCAGUGUGGUGGAACAAAGCAAUUAUUUCACAGCUGAAGGAAAACCAGAAGAUAUUUAAAAAUGGAAAGUUCCCUUCCCAAGCCAUAAUGGAUGACGACGGUAGUAGAAGUAAUAUAUUCAGAGGGACCAAAACAGGAUAACAAUUUUUCAGAAGCUGAAGAAAUAUAUGAGGGAAGAAGAGAGAUUGAUACAGCAGCAUUGGAACCAGCUUUGUCCUUGGAUUGCAAGGGAAUGGAGAAAUGAGGUGUCUUCACAGAUCUUUCUUAUGUGACCAAGUGGCAGAAAAUGCUGCAGAAAUCUACUUCAGACAGUUAAGUAUUCAGGUUACUGAAAGCUGUGUUUACUAUUUUUAUAUCUAUGGUUGUGAGCUAAGUAUUUUUUUUUUUUUUUUUUUUUUUGCCUGUUCACAUCCUUGCUGCCUGCAGAGCUUCCCAGUUGCUAGGCUGUGUUUAAUAUAUUAUUUUCCCAUUGAGACACCUAUGCUCCCUGUCACAUCUCUGUUGUCUCUUUUCAGUACUGUAUGAGCCCCAUCUCUGGCUUCUCUAAAUGUUAAAGACCUCUCUUCCAGUUAUUUAUACAGUAUUUAAAAUACGUCCCUUAGUAAUCUUGACUUCAUCAGCCUGACCCCUCUGAACCACCAUUCGCCCUUGGUUCAUCAAAUCAGGUUCAGCCUUCUUGCCUUUAGCUUAGGACAUUUUAAUUCUUUUUUUCUGCAUAAUGUCUGUUUCUGUCUCCUAUAUUGAGAUUUAUUAAAAUUAUUUAGCCAUUUUAAGAUGAAACCGUAUGUCUAGUUGAGUGUUCAAAAUCAGUGACUACCUAAUUCCCCCUGAGACUAACACUCAUUCAUUCUCCUCAUUAACUUAGCAAGAGGACUUAGAGUCCAGCAUUGCAGAUUGUCUCCAGGCUUUCAUGCCUGAACUUCUCUUUCACUGUUGGGGGCAUAGAUCCUUCCUCUUCUGAGGACAAAGAAAUUUGGUGUCAUCCAGUCUGUGGAGAAAGUUUGCUGCAACUUGGAAUGCUGUUCUACCAAACAAUUCCUUUCUUCCAUCUGCGACACAAUUUUUUAGGGUUUUCCGAUUAAUCCAAAUACUGAAGAUAUUAUAAAGCCACAGAAACUGCUUUAGGCCAAAGAUGGCAAUUACAGCUAAGAGCUAGAGCUAACUGAAAGGCUUCCUAUUUUUUAACAUUUUUCUGUGGCUUUUAAGAUCUUUUUGUGUCACUCUGGAAUGAAAACCAAGUGCACAAAGACUUUUGGCAAAAAUGGGACUUUGCAAAAUGUUCAUCUUUGGCUCCAGAAACCGUUUUUCUUCUACUCUCAUCUUCUAGGAAGCCUAUUGUAGAGCUUAGAAAUAAUCCUGUCAGAACUUCAUCAAAGCCAGUAUUUGUUUUCAAAAUGUUCUAGUUUUGGCAUAAUAUUAGUUGGAGAAGAAAGUAUUUAAUCCAAAAUUUUCUGACUAGUUCCAUAAAUGUCAUUACAUUAAUUAGGUACAUAAGUAACAGUAGCUGAAUUAGCUAUGUUUACACAUGUCUAGUCAUCUGAAAGAAUAUGAAGUCAGACAGGACUCAAGGGUUGGCUCAGUAAGUGUCAUAAAUUUUAGUAACCCCUGAUCUUGAUGCUCAGUAGAACACAUCUGUGAACAAAACUAAUUGAAACAUCAAGAAAAAGUCAAAACAAAUGAAAAGCAUUAGCAAAAAAAAAAAAAACAAUUAUUAAUUUAGAGUAAUAUGUUAGGGUGAGUGGCAAAUUAAAUCGCUAUCCAAGUCCUGACACAGUUUUUUAUUUGAAACUAUAAUGUGAUUAUUGAUCAAAUGAAUUAAUUCUAUUUUGAUGGUAAUAUUAGCUUUUAAGUAACACAUAAACCUAAAAAUAGUUUAAUACAAGGCUUUCAGGGUCAUCAUCCUCCAAUAUUACUGUAAUCAGGAAUAGUUCCAAUGAAUAUAAUUAUGUUGUAUUCAUGAUACGAUAAAGGCUAUAUAAUUGAAAUCAAAUUUAGAGUUUUUUAAGGUUUUUAUUCAUUAUCUGAUUAGCCUACUACCUCAUAUGAAAGUAGUCAAGUCUUCUGAAUCUUACUCAUGCUGAGUGAAGACAUAUCUGGAUAUCGUGGAUAUUUCUGAGCCAGUUACUAUCGUACUCAUAUACAGUUUCUUCUGUAGUUUCUUUCUGGUUUUGUGUGUGUGCAUGUGCAUUUAUUUCAUAUGACUAAGAACCUCUAUCUAUCUGAAGAAUUGCAGGCUUUGGUUGCUAUUUCUCUACGGAAUGACUGGGAUGGUAUAUGAUGGUGCUUUGCAAAAGGAGCAGAAAUAAGUUAGCUUGAUGAAAUUUGUAGGAGAUGGCAGCAUCUGCUAACUCCAAACUCAGUCCUUGUGUUUGCUUUCGGUUCUUUUGAAACUAGUUUCUUGUGAUGUAUUUUAAAAUACAUAUUGUAGUACAGUUUUUCUCUAAAGCAUGCACUAUCAGAGAAUCACCUCUGAUGUAGAGUUGUCUUUUCAGACUUGCGGAACACAUUUCUUGUUUCUUAGAAUCUUUUAAAAUGUUGGUGUCUAGUACGACCCAAUGCACUGAAAUAUCUUGUAUAUAAUGCUAUUUUCUAAUGAACCGUGAUUCUCUGGUUCUGUCAAGAGUCGUGCUCAUAUUAGUAAAGGCUAAAGAGAGUACCAUUAUGUGUCUAGCAGAGAUAGUCCUUAACAGACUUGUCAAGUCUUAAGCAGUGUGCAUAAAAGAUGAAGCAUCUUGUUACAUCUGAUACCUCCAACUCAAGUGCUCCUAGGAAGUCACUGCCUUCCUCCCUUCUCCAGGACCAUGCAGGCCAGACAUGGCUUCUCACAUCACUCAUGGAGGGCUGGCUCCUUUGCUGCAGUCAUCUGCCAAACUCUUGUUACACUGAGAACCUCACAUCAGAUUAAAAGUUUCAUAGAGAUAUUCAGACAUCAGUCACUCACACCACAUCUCCUGCCCCCACAGCAAUACAACUGUAACCCCCCAAGAACUCUACAGAAUUUGACUUUGUAUAGAAAUUAAUAUUGAUUAGGUAGCACAACUGAAAAAACUUUCUAAAGUGUGCAGUAACAUAUAAAUUAGAAUUCUGUCCCUCCACCAUGUUCUGAACUAACCAUUUUCUGUUGAGAGUGAAGCCUGAAUGGAAUUAGCACUCACAACACUAUGCAGAGCAUAGUUUCAGAUUAAUUUAUAUGAUAUGAUGAUGAAAAUAAAGAAGACACCGACCAAAGUCUUCAGAAAUCCUAUGUUGAAAUAAGGAAAUACCUUUCCAUUUUAAUAAUUGUUGAUAUGGUCAGUGUCAGCUUUUUUAUACAGUAAAGGUAUGAAAGUCUGUGUUGUGUGAUUAGACAUUAAGCACAUUCAUUGAGGGACGAUUUCAUGGAGUCCCUGAUAUCAGUGGAGCAGUGGCAGCUGUUGGGCUUAACUUGGCCCAGGUUUAAGUACUUUUUUAAUUUGAAUAUGUUGGAGUCUAAAGUAGGAAUGAUCAUUCUUACUUUUCUUAUUCAUUCCAUUUUAUAGGGGCUUAAGAAACUAGGGGAAUCAGGCCCUUUGUGUAAUACAUAUCGUCUUACAUGAUUUCCAAUGAAGGAUAUUUUCAAGUAGGAGCUUAAGCUUAAAAAAAAAAAAAAAAAGAUUAACUUAAUUACUCUUGAGAUAUGGUAGAAUUCCAGUUGGCCACCUGAAUAAACAUACAAUUUUAUCAUUUUUUUCAGUGUUUCUGUGCUGCAGGAGUACAAAAGUACAGAUGCAUCUCAUGAGUAUAUAAUAAAGAGAAAAUAAGCUACCAUACCCUUUUCAAAAGAACUAAUCAAGUACUAAAAGGAAAAUUAAUGCAAAUAAAAUAUUGAUUAAGAACUAAAAGGAUUUUAAUUAUAUUACUUUCAGAAAUAAUUUAAUUUAACCCAAACAGACAACUAAGAGCAGAUAUUUCGCCUUAGCAUUUUUCAGAUUGCUAAUUAAAAUUUCUAGGAGGAAAUUCAAGUUUAGUGACUGGAUUUUAAAGAUAAAUAAUGCUUGCUUCUUUUCAUAAUAGUUUUAUAAAGGUUUACAUAGUGCCAAAAUAUAAUACUGCAUGCACAUUUUUUUUAAAAACAAUCAGAUAACCUGGAUGCUCCAUACAACCACUGGGGGUAUCGAGCACUCUUACAUUAAGAAAACUUGAAAAUUAAGUGUGUUAAGGUUAAAUAUCUGUCAUAUGUUUUUUAUGUAGAUUUAUAUCUACAUUGUUUAUGAAAUUCUUUGGAGAUAAUUGCUUUUUGGUAAGAUAAAGGCAAUUAUAGUGAUAGAGCACUCUUUGUGCUUCCAUUGCCACUGAGUAGCAAUUUUACUAUUUAUCUGAAAAGAGAUGUAUCUGAUUCUUUAUUCUCUGCCAUAAUGACUUGAUCCAAAAUCCAGUGAAGUAAAUGGAAAUUGCUCAUCACUCUAUAAUUUUGUAUAGCAUUUGGCUUUCAAUGCCACUGCCUACUUUACAUUGUAUUAUUUAUAAGACUGCUGAUCGCUUACAUAUACACCACGAAAUGGAAUGGGAAUGCAGUAAUACAGAGGCACAACAUUUGGAAGCUUUCUACAAAGAAUCUUUUACAACUACAAAUUCUUCACAGAGUAUUAAGGCAAACUGCUCAGAAUUUAAUUAAGCUCCUUUCAUCUUCUUUAGAUGCAGAGUGCUAAAUUAAAGAGAAAAAGAUGAUACUGAGCUACCUGUCCAAACACUUUAGGCAAAAAAAGGUAUAAUUAACAGUCCUUAACAUUAGAUUAGGGAGCAGUAUCAGAAAAUCCCCUUUAUGCCAAGACAGAGGGCUAGAACAUGCCAUGGGGACAUAACAAGAUUCAGAACCACUCUAAAGAAAAUUGUUACACAGAAGAAUCACGUGUCCCAUUAACCAGUGCUCCCUCUCUUGGGCCACUGUAUGUACACAUCAUAAAGCAUGUGACAUACAACUUCUAUGCAAUUUGAAACAUUUCCUAAAAAUUAUGCAAUGCAUGUCUGUGCUACUAGUCUCACUUUGUUAGUCUGCUCACUAGUCUCACUGGUCUCAAUUUUGAAAUUUUGAUUCAGUUAUAUCCAACUUUUCAACCAACUUGACAAGAGGAUUGAGGGGGUCUCAAAAUAUGAAAAUCAGAAGAGAUAGAAAAUCCCACAGAGCCCCUAAUAAUCUGCAGCACACUUUCGUGAGUUGCUAAGUAAUAGGUAAUCUAUAAAACGCAGCAAUGUUGCAACACCAGUCUAUGCAAAGCUUUGGUUUGGUCUCACUUCAUAACACUAGAAACUUGGAAGCACAUAUCUGAGGAAACCAGGCUUCACUACACUGUUGCUUAUGGAAGUAAUUCCUUUUAAGAGAUGAAUAGUAAUUUACACAUUAUUGGAUUAUCUAAUCAACAUAAAAAUGAUUUUACUUGAACACAGGGAAGCUUAGGAGUUUGUCCUCUCCAUAGGCUUUGUCAGAGAUGUAUUAUUGUGCUUGAUGGACUUGAACUGAUAGGGUUGCUUCUCUGUUCCUUUGGCUUAGUCAUGAACAAACAAAAACUAAUUUUGGCCACUCAGCAUUCUGUGAACCAUACAAUCCUCUGCACAUGAUACUUCUGCAAGAGUAAGCUUUAAAAACGAAACUCUUGUUCUCCGUAGGCACUAGAGAUGCAAAUUUGGUGGGACAGAAUCUGAAGGCUAUCUGUCUUCUCAGUUACCCUUUCUGCAACGUAAUAUUUCCUUUGCACUUUGAAGUGGUUGUAUUUAAGCUCAGUUGUGUACGUACAAAAUGAUCUCUGACGAUGAAAGGUAAUAUGAAACGAAAGAAAGACUUUGCAACAUGAAAGGCAUGAAAGAGGAAGAGAAGUAAAGGAGAUGCACUGUUGUUCACCAUUAAUCAUUUCAGCUGGCUACACCUACGUUAAAAAUGCAUGUGCAUGUAUUUACACAACACACAAACAUGCAACGAUGCAAACAGUACACUGCAUGUUUGUUAUGUACAUUGAGUGCAUGUGCGGCUACAACAGAAGUAAAUGAGAAUGAUGCUGAAACAUGAGGUGUAAGCUAAAGGGAACGUUUGAACGGCUGGAUGUUCAGCGAUGUAUGGAGCUGACAUUUGCAAAUCUAAGUUAUAUAUUCUGUUUUCAUUUCUCGACCCUGUCAGCUAAGCAAUCCUUCCACGAGACAGGAAGAAGGAAGAAGGGACAUAAUCCUGAGAGAGCCGAAUGAAUAUAUAUGUUUGCAAUUUCCCUUGAAAUCUGCACAGAAAAUAGGAGUCAACCAUAAAUUCAAAUAAAUCACUGCAAAGACUCACUGACAGAUUCUUUCCAUGCACCUAACGCAGCAAUUACAGAGUCUGGUAAAACUGAGACAGAAAUUGAAAACAGGUUAUUCAUAAAGAAACAAGACGGAAAGUGCCCAAACAAAAAGUGAAAUAGUUCAGAACCUGCCAGAAUCCUGCUGAUCUAUCAAGCUAAAGAAAAUACUGGACAUCAGCUGCCUCUUAUAGAAAUUCUUCUCUAGUCUGUGGUAAAAAAAGUUGUCUCCCUUUGUUCUAUUUAUAAGCAAAGGAAUCUUUUCAUUUAUUUAUUAAUUUCCUGAUUAUUCUGUAUUUUUCUAUCAUUCUCAGAGAACUUCCCCUUUCAGCCUCAGUUGGGUUGCAGUUUUCCAAAAGUGCCCCUUUUGGUGUCCUGUUGGCAGCUUCCCUGUUCUAUCCUACCUCUAAGUACUCUUGGUGCCCCACCCCUGCACCAUUUCUUAUACUCUGUUAACCUAUCUCCCCUUCUAGAACUGUUACUAACUGUAAUUUCAUCCAUUUGUUAUGUGCUUUAGAAAUGGGACUGCUUUAUCUGGGAAACAAGAGGAAUGUUUUUGAAAAUAUAUUUUAAAAUAUUAUCACAUUUUAAUUUCAAAAAAAGUAAUUGAGAUUCAAACUGAAAUAAUAAAGCGUGGCCAUAAACAUACUGAUGCUAUUCCAGCAGCAAACUGUAAAAGCACAGAUUAGCAUAAAAUGCCAGACAGACAAAAAAGGACUCUAUAAUGUGUUGAGGUCCAACUAUUAGAUUUUCAUACUUCAAUGUUUAACCCUUGAAGUUUACUGUGCAUUUCCGCGCUUUUAGGUCAGCCAGUAGAUAACUUGUCAGUCAAAUUAUGCAGAGAUAGUUUCUUCCUACAGACAUUAUCAUUUCUAGGAGACUGAAAUUGUUCUGAGCCAGCCCUUUUGCUUGCAAUUCAGUAACAGCAGGCAACGGGCACAGAUUGUCCCUGUAAAAGAUUUACUUUAGGUCUAGAAAGAGAAUAACAAUCUGUAGUGUCAUAAUAUGUUUGGCAGAUUCUCAUUGUUACAGGCUAUGCUCAUUCCUAGGAGAGAAAUGAAGCAAGUGCAAAGGAGCAUGACUAUAUUUUGCAGUACUAAACAAAUGAUUCAGAUAUCAAAUCACUGUCAAACUUCUACUUUUUUUCCUUCCAUGAGCAUCCCUACACAGCCUUCAAAGACCAUGAAAUUCUCAAAAAUAUCAAACUCUAUGUAGACUUAAAAU